AGGUGACCUGCGGAAGGAUCAUUAAAGAGUAAGGGUCUUCUAGGCCCGACCUCCCAACCCUUUGUUUACCAAACCAUCGUUGCUUCGGCGGGCCCGUCCCAGGACCGCCGGAGGACUGUCACACCGUCCUCUGGCCCGCGCCCGUCGAUAGCCCUUCUCACUUAAACUCUGAACCAAACGUGUCCUGUCUGAGUGAUUAUUAUCAAAAAUUAAAGCAAAAACUUUCAACAACGGAUCUCUUGGUUCUGGCAUCGAUGAAGAACGCAGCGAAAUGCGAUAAGUAAUGCGAAUUGCAGAAUUCCAGUGAGUCAUCGAAUCUUUGAACGCACAUUGCGCCCUUUGGUAUUCCGAAGGGCAUGCCUGUUCGAGCGUCAUUAUCACCCCUCGAGCCCCUGUGGCUUGGCUUUGGACGGCCUGGUCAGGCGACUGACCCCUCCUAAAGACAAUGACGGCGGCCUCGCAGGACCCCCGGUACACUGAGCUUCUUAACUGAGCACGUAUCGGAUCGAGGGUUCUCGGGGCACGGUCUCCUUUCCCCCCUCCCCUCCCCGGGGCGGUGGGAAAACAAAUCUUCUCAGGUUGACCUCGGAUCAGGUAGGGAUACCCGCUGAACUUAAGCAUAUCAAUAAGCGGAGGAAAAGAAACCAACAGGGAUUGCCUCAGUAACGGCGAGUGAAGCGGCAACAGCUCAAAUUUGAAAUCUGGCCUCUUUCGGGGUCCGAGUUGUAAUUUGUAGAG
RNAcentral lists this ribosomal RNA (738 nucleotides) under fungal sp. RNAcentral describes it as "eukaryotic LSU rRNA". The stretch from base 220 to 374 matches the Rfam family "5.8S ribosomal RNA". Lineage: Eukaryota; Fungi. The record is from RNAcentral.